GAUGAACGCUGGCGGCGUGCCUAAUACAUGCAAGUCGAGCGAACGGACGAGAAGCUUGCUUUUCUGAUGUUAGCGGCGGACGGGUGAGUAACACGUGGAUAACCUACCUAUAAGACUGGGAUAACUUCGGGAAACCGGAGCUAAUACCGGAUAAUAUUUUGAACCGCAUGGUUCAAAAGUGAAAGACGGUCUUGCUGUCACUUAUAGAUGGAUCCGCGCUGCAUUAGCUAGUUGGUAAGGUAACGGCUUACCAAGGCAACGAUGCAUAGCCGACCUGAGAGGGUGAUCGGCCACACUGGAACUGAGACACGGUCCAGACUCCUACGGGAGGCAGCAGUAGGGAAUCUUCCGCAAUGGGCGAAAGCCUGACGGAGCAACGCCGCGUGAGUGAUGAAGGUCUUCGGAUCGUAAAACUCUGUUAUUAGGGAAGAACAUAUGUGGAAGUAACUGUGCACAUCUUGACGGUACCUAAUAAGAAAGCCACGACUAACUACGUG
Molecule: ribosomal RNA, 497 nt
Filed under: uncultured bacterium
Lineage: Bacteria
Description: partial 16S ribosomal RNA
Rfam family: Bacterial small subunit ribosomal RNA
Source: RNAcentral